RNAcentral lists this ribosomal RNA (686 nucleotides) under uncultured bacterium. Its description in RNAcentral is "bacterial SSU rRNA". It matches the Rfam family "Bacterial small subunit ribosomal RNA", at positions 54 to 745 of the family's 1533-position model. The record is from RNAcentral.
CAUGCAAGUCGAGCGAGAAAGUGACUUCGGUCGCGAGUAAAGCGGCGAACGGGUGAGUACAACGUGGAUAAUCUACCCUAAGGUCCGGGACAACCCCGAGAAAUCGGAGCUAAUACCGGAUAAGACCACAGUAUCCAAGGAUACAGCGGUAAAAGAUUUAUCGCCUUUGGAUGAGUCCACGUCCCAUCAGGUAGUUGGUAAGGUAAAAGCUUACCAAGCCUAAGACGGGUAGCCGGCCUUAGCGGGUGAACGGCCACAUGGGGACUGAGACACGGCCCUGACUCCUACGGGAGGCAGCAGUGGGGAAUAUUGGGCAAUGGGCGAAAGCCUGACCCAGCGAUGCCGCGUGAGGGAUGAAGGCCUUCGGGUCGUAAACCUCUGUCAGGAGGGACGAUGGGACACUUGUGUCUUGACGGUACCUCCAGAGGAAGCCCCGGCUAACUCCGUGCCAGCAGCCGCGGUAAUACGGAGGGGGCAAGCGUUGCUCGGAAUUACUGGGCGUAAAGGGUCCGCAGGCUGUCAGGCAAGUUGGUUGUGAAAGCUCAAGGCUUAACCUUGGAAUUGCAUCCAAAACUGCCUGACUAGAGUCCAAGAGAGGUUGGCGGAACUCCGGGUGUAGCGGUGAAAUGCAUAGAUAUCGGGAGGAACACCAGAGGCGAAGGCGGCCAACUGGCUUGGAACUGACG